This 241-nucleotide ribosomal RNA is filed under the name uncultured Actinomycetales bacterium. Its description in RNAcentral is "partial 16S ribosomal RNA". It matches the Rfam family "Bacterial small subunit ribosomal RNA", at positions 89 to 334 of the family's 1533-position model. Lineage: Bacteria; Bacillati; Actinomycetota; Actinomycetes; Actinomycetales. The record is from RNAcentral.
ACUCGAGUGGCGAACGGGUGGGUAACACGUGGGUGAUCUGCCCUGCACUUCGGGAUAAGCCUGGGAAACUGGGUCUAAUACCGGAUAGGAGCCAUUUUUAGUGUGAUGGUUGGAAAGUUUUUCGGUGUAGGAUGAGCUCGCGGCCUAUCAGCUUGUUGGUGGGGUAAUGGCCUACCAAGGCGGCGACGGGUAGCCGGCCUGAGAGGGUGUACGGCCACAUUGGGACUGAGAUACGGCCCAG